RNAcentral lists this unclassified non-coding RNA (2138 nucleotides) under uncultured fungus. RNAcentral's name for it is "sequence contains 18S rRNA gene, ITS1, 5.8S rRNA gene, ITS2, 28S rRNA gene". Lineage: Eukaryota; Fungi. The record is from RNAcentral.
ACGAGAAAGGCGGCAAGCUGCAUUCCCUGCCCUGCCAUCACAACCCUUGACGCCUACCUGGAGGCAUAUAUCAGCGCGGCCGGCAUUGCGACCGACGCGAAGGGCCCGCUGUUUCGAACGGCCGUUGACCGUUCAGGCAAGUCACUCACUGAAAACCCGAUGUGGCAGCAAGACGCCUACCGGAUGAUCCAGCGCCGCGCAAAGGCCGCAGGCAUCCGCACGAAGAUAGGGAACCACAGCUUCCGCGCUACUGGGAUCACGGCCCUAUUUGAAGAACGGCGGCCGUCUUGAAAUCGCGCAGCAGAUGGCUAACCAUGAGAGUAGCCGCACGACCGGGCUUUAUGACCGGCGCGGCGAUGAGAUCACUCUUGAUGAAGUCGAGCGGGUUGGGAUUUAAACCUUCGUCGCCUUUUGCUUCCCCCUGCACGCUUGUUAUUGUCCUUCCUGAUCGAGCGCCACUGGAUCACCCGAUCAACACCUUUGAUGGCCACACCGAUCCCGGCGAAGAUAAGGCACCAUGUUUCGUACAAACUCACAGCUCUACUCCUUACGCGGCGGCUCCGCAUACCGAUGUAUUGCCAACCGCCUACAAAGCUCUGAUCGGCAACCGCCCUUCUAGCAGGCCGAACUUUCUCGCAGUUGUUGACGGAUUUAAUUAUCGGGAUCUGCAAGAACGACGCCUGACCGGCGGCUAUGCCAAUGUCUUCAGCUGUUCUUUUCUGCGUCGCCCACGGCCUUUGGCGUCAAGCCAUCCAACAAAUGAGGGGGCACCUUGAAGGGCUUCGCGAGAAGCCGAUGAACUCGCACCCAGGCGAUGGCGCUGUACUCCCAUGCUGUAUCUCGAAUGGCUUCGUCUAGCAACGGCUUCAGAUGCUCAAUGAGUUUUUUUUCAAACAACUCGUAGGAUGAAACGCUGGGUGUCGUCUGUUAAAGCAAUCGUUCUUAGUUGAUGCAGAACUGGUGUGACCGCAUCUUUAGAACGGAGGCGAAAUCCUAAGAUCGGGUUUGCGGCAGCUACGAGCGUGACGGCUUCGUUGUAUCGCUUCCCCGAAUCUCCAUCGAUCGGGAAAACUUUGCCAACGCUACUUUUAGUGCUGUUUGACCCGCCGCCGAAUGGAAAACUGUUCGGAGAGAAAAUUCACCGCAUAGUGCAACGACAGAAGCCGAUGACGAAUUUCAAGGAGGUCAGCGAGGGCGCGGCCGAUUGCUCUUUUCUCCUCACGGCGCACUAUAAAGCGCUGGGAAAGCUCAUGCAGCACCCAGCCCACCACGACACGAUUAGUGCUUGCCACUCUUGCAUGUGGGUUCAUUUUCUCCUGUCCCUGCCCUUACCGCUCGAUAUUGGUCCGGCCGCUUGGGCACCGCGCGCAGCCUUGCCCAUUCACCCGGCCACGGUUCGCCCGCCUGAUGCCGUCAAUUCCAGAGGCUCUUUCGUUUUGGGUUUCCGCUGCGCAGACCCUCCACAAAACGAAGAGAGCCUUGGAUGACUGCGGCGUGCGCCCGGCGGCUUCGGGUGGCCAUAGGCUGGCGCCAGUGCCAGCCGGACAACUAAGAAAAGGCGACUGCCAUGAAAACCACCGACUGCCCCAUUGCUCAAAGCGAUAAACGAUUUAACCCUCGCGGAACUGAUAACGCAGAGGAGCGACCUCCUUCGAGCGCACAGUCAAUUGAUAGCAAGCCUCGAAGCCCUACUGGAGUGGUGGGACGAAUGGACCAACUCCGAUGAUCCAUGCGCUGUCGAAGAUCCCGACGUUGAAGACUUCCGUGAGGUCCUCGCCAAUGCAACAGCCCUUACGGGUCGGAGAGCGCAAUGACCCAAAAAUACUUGCCAUAACCGUUCCCGUUCGCUAAGGUCCGCCCGUCACCGAAAAAACGUUUCUAGAAAACAGUCCAAGGAUGAAGGGGGGGGAUAUUGCGCGACUUCCACGAUCAGGCGAGGCCGCCGCCCAACCAUCAGAAAGAGCUGGUGAAGCUUGUCACCAGCCUCGCCUACCGCCACAGUCCAGUGGCAAGUAUUUGCUGAUUUCGUUGAGAUGGGUGCGCUUUCAUUCAGCAAUGCAGUUGACCUCGCGCAAUGCGACAGACGCGAAGCGCCCGGUACAUGGAGAUCAUCACACGCUACAAACCGGACGAGCUGG